AUCACCUCUUGGCCUUUUGGCUAAGAUCAAGUAUAGUAUCUGUUCUUAUCAGUUUAAAAUACGCAUCAAGGGGCACUUGGCUGGCUCAGUGGGUUAAGCCUCUGCCUUCAAUUCAGGUCAUGAUCUCAGGGUUCUGGGAUCAAGCCCUACAUGGGGCUCUCUGCUCACCGGGGAGCCUGCUUCCUCCU
This is a non-coding RNA of Mustela putorius furo (domestic ferret), 188 nucleotides long. The record is from Rfam. NCBI's taxonomy places the organism in Eukaryota, Metazoa, Chordata, Mammalia, Carnivora, Mustelidae.